Xiphias gladius (swordfish) is the source of this 558-nucleotide long non-coding RNA. RefSeq lists it as uncharacterized. The record is from RefSeq and is a predicted model, not a curated record. The transcript is spliced from 3 exons. NCBI's taxonomy places the organism in Eukaryota, Metazoa, Chordata, Actinopteri, Istiophoriformes, Xiphiidae.
AUGUUUGAUUCUAACAAACGGAAAACAAGGUACUCAAGGUUUUUACAGUCCAGUAGUGGGUUGUGAACUUCAGCGUCCCAGCUCUUCAGAGAGAAGCCGGUUCUCAAAGUGGGCUGGUCUUUGAAUAUCUGUACUGACUGUGAACACCUCUCUGACUGACAGGACAGAUAACUGCAGCUGAGCAGGGUCAUAAAUAUAUAAAGUAACCUGAGCAAACAUAACAUGCACUGGUGUUACAGCUGUAGGAACCACAUGGACCCCUCUGAAACCACUAGAAAACCAAUGUUACCAGUACAAAUCUGUUGGCACCGACUGAGACCAGUAGAAACCUCUGCCAAGACCAACUAGUCCAAAGGGAGGAGUCAGAGGCUGGUCUGGAGGAUCGUGAUGGAGAUGCAGGAGCUCUGCGACUGGAGACGACACAACAGACGACAGACAGACAGAGAGACAGACGUGACAUCUUCUUCUGGCCUGAGACACUGAACACCUGGAAACAUCUCGACCCACAGUCAUGCUGCAUUCAGGUCAUGUUACAGCAUGGGAAAUCACAGUUUACAG